RNAcentral lists this ribosomal RNA (460 nucleotides) under uncultured bacterium. RNAcentral's name for it is "partial 16S ribosomal RNA". It matches the Rfam family "Bacterial small subunit ribosomal RNA", at positions 338 to 795 of the family's 1533-position model. The record is from RNAcentral.
CCUACGGGAGGCAGCAGUGAGGAAUAUUGGUCAAUGGGCGUAAGCCUGAACCAGCCAAGUCGCGUGAGGGAUGAAGGUUCUAUGGAUUGUAAACCUCUUUUAUAAGGGAAUAAAGUGCGGGACGUGUCCCGUUUUGUAUGUACCUUAUGAAUAAGGAUCGGCUAACUCCGUGCCAGCAGCCGCGGUAAUACGGAGGAUCCGAGCGUUAUCCGGAUUUAUUGGGUUUAAAGGGUGCGUAGGCGGCCUUUUAAGUCAGCGGUGAAAGUCUGUGGCUCAACCAUAGAAUUGCCGUUGAUACUGGGAGGCUUGAGUAUGUUUGAGGCAGGCGGAAUGCGUGGUGUAGCGGUGAAAUGCUUAGAUAUCACGCAGAACCCCGAUUGCGAAGGCAGCCUGCCAAGCCAUGACUGACGCUGAUGCACGAAAGCGUGGGGAUCAAACAGGAUUAGAUACCCUUGUAGUC